RNAcentral lists this unclassified non-coding RNA (305 nucleotides) under uncultured Bartonella sp. RNAcentral describes it as "partial 16S-23S ribosomal RNA intergenic spacer". The stretch from base 35 to 108 matches the Rfam family "tRNA". The record is from RNAcentral. Lineage: Bacteria; Pseudomonadati; Pseudomonadota; Alphaproteobacteria; Hyphomicrobiales; Bartonellaceae.
AUUAUGCCGGUGAGGUUUUCCGGUUUAUCCCGGAGGGCUUGUAGCUCAGUUGGUUAGAGCGCGCGCUUGAUAAGCGUGAGGUCGGAGGUUCAAGUCCUCCCAGGCCCACCAAUUCAAUUAGGGAGUGAUAAAGCGCUUAUUGUACGAUGCAGAUAACAUGUACGAUUUAUCAAAUAUGCCGAGAUGAUUUUGUCUCAGAUUGAGAUUUAUCAUUUUAUAAAUUUAUGCUUUUUGUUUUUGUUCUUUUUAGGGGCCGUAGCUCAGCUGGGAGAGCACCUGCUUUGCAAGCUGGGGGUCGUCGGUUC